RNAcentral lists this unclassified non-coding RNA (335 nucleotides) under Borreliella afzelii. RNAcentral's name for it is "partial contains 5S-23S ribosomal RNA intergenic spacer and 23S ribosomal RNA". The stretch from base 207 to 335 matches the Rfam family "Bacterial large subunit ribosomal RNA", at positions 1 to 129 of the family's 2925-position model. The record is from RNAcentral. Lineage: Bacteria; Pseudomonadati; Spirochaetota; Spirochaetia; Spirochaetales; Borreliaceae.
UGAGUUCGCGGGAGAGUAGGUUAUUGCCAGGGUUUUUAUUUUAUACUUUAAACCUUGAAUUUAUUUUUUAAAUGUUUAUAUUAUUUGAAUAAAACAUUCAAAUAAUAUAAAAAAUAAUAUAUAUAUUGACAUGGAUUAAACAAAGAUAUAUAUUAUUCUAUGUUGUAUAAACAAAUUGGCAAAAUAGAGAUGGAAGAUAAAAAUAUGGUCAAAGUAAUAAGAGUCUAUGGUGGAUGCCUAGGAGCUUUAAGGCGAAGAAGGUCGUGGUAAGCUGCGAAAAGCUUGGGGGAUAAGCAAACAUUUAUUGAUCCCAAGAUUACCGAAUGGAGUAAUCC